This 492-nucleotide ribosomal RNA is filed under the name uncultured bacterium. RNAcentral describes it as "partial 16S ribosomal RNA". It matches the Rfam family "Bacterial small subunit ribosomal RNA", at positions 29 to 507 of the family's 1533-position model. The record is from RNAcentral.
AGCGAACGCUGGCGGUAGGCUUAACACAUGCAAGUCGAACGGCAGAACAGUAAGAGCUUGCUCUUACGGGUGGCGAGGGGCGGACGGGUGAGGAAUACAUAGGCAUCUAUUUUUUCUGGGGGGAUACCGGAGGGAAACGUACGAUAAUACCGCAUACGAUCUACGGGUGAAAGCAGGGGAUCUUGGGAUCUUGCGCGUUUGAAUGAGCCUAUGUCGUAUUAGCUAGUUGGCGGGGUAAAGGCCCACCAAGGCGACGACCCGUAGCUGGCCUGAGAGGAUGAUAAGCCACACUAGAAGUGAGACGCGGACCAGGCGCCUGCGAGACGCAGCAGUGGGGAAUGUUGGGCAGUAGUCGCGAACCUUGUCCAGCCAGAGCGCGUGGGAGGAGGAGACCUUCGGUUUGUGAUGCCGUUUUUUUGGGAGAAAAAAGCAGCAGGUUAAGACCACGCUGUUCUGACGGUACCCAAAGAAGAAGCACCGGCUAACUUCGUG